RNAcentral lists this ribosomal RNA (480 nucleotides) under uncultured bacterium. RNAcentral describes it as "bacterial SSU rRNA". It matches the Rfam family "Bacterial small subunit ribosomal RNA", at positions 505 to 985 of the family's 1533-position model. The record is from RNAcentral.
GUGCCAGCAGCCGCGGUAAUACGUAGGGCGCGAGCGUUGUCCGGAAUUAUUGGGCGUAAAGAGCUUGUAGGCGGUUUGUCGCGUCUGCUGUGAAAGGCCGGGGCUUAACCCCGUGUAUUGCAGUGGGUACGGGCAGACUAGAGUGCAGUAGGGGAGACUGGAACUCCUGGUGUAGCGGUGAAAUGCGUAGAGAUGUGGAGGAAUACCGAAGGCGAAGGCAGCCCCUUGGGGAUGUACUGACGCUGAUGUGCGAAAGCGUGGGGAGCAAACAGGAUUAGAUACCCUGGUAGUCCACGCUGUAAACGGUGUCGAUUUGGGGAUUGGGGUUUAGCCCUGGUGCCCGAAGCUAACGUGAUAAAUCGACCGCCUGGGGAGUACGGCCGCAAGGUUAAAACUCAAAUGAAUUGACGGGGGCCCGCACAAGCGGUGGAGCAUGUGGUUUAAUUCGAUGCAACGCGAAGAACCUUACCUACUCUUGAC